This is a long non-coding RNA of Homalodisca vitripennis (glassy-winged sharpshooter), 3401 nucleotides long. RefSeq lists it as uncharacterized. NCBI's taxonomy places the organism in Eukaryota, Metazoa, Arthropoda, Insecta, Hemiptera, Cicadellidae. The transcript has 9 exons. The record is from RefSeq and is a predicted model, not a curated record.
AAGGCUCUUCUACUUAUAUUACUAAUUAGGCGUAGUUCUCAGGAAAAUAGUAAUAAUACUUAAAGCUGAUAUGAAUUAUGUUUGUUAAUAGGCGUUUUGGAUUAACAUUUCUUAAAUGCAGGUCAUUCUCUACGAUGUAGCAAAUUUUUUCAAUAAUUUUAUUGUGCAAUCGAUUCCUUGAUGCGGAUUAAACCGGGGAAAAAGGUGUUUGUUUUGAUAUGAAAUUAUUUAACGCUGUUACUGUAUCACAAUAGGUUUCGGAACAGACGUUGAAUUGAACUGUUACGGACGGAGAGUUUUAGUAACGAAACAGUUGUGAUUACAUAAAUGUGUGGUUUUGAUAGGAAUACUGGAUACACUAGGAUUGAGGAGGAUAACAGAACCGUCCGCCAACCCGUACGCAAAUCUCAACCAGGAUCGUUUCGUUGCCCCACCACUCUACAGAUCUACACCCACUUCAGUACUCCUAGCCCCUCUUACUCCGCUCCUCAUUAUAAUCAAUAAUUUCGAUCAAUUAUUGAUCAUUCUGGGGGACGUGAAAAGCAUACAUGGAUUCCCCUUCACUUCCAGAAAUUUCUUUUCAGCUAAUAUAACGCCCCAGGCACAACCAACUAACCACUGAGCCCUUCAACGCCAGGAUGACCAAACAUGACGUGUCGUGCGAGGACUAAAACGGAUGUAGGUACUCUUAGGAAUACUGGAUACACUAGGAUUGAGGAGGAUAACAGAACCGUCCGCCAACCCGUACGCAAAUCUCAACCAGGAUCGUUUCGUUGCCCCACCACUCUACAGAUCUACACCCACUUCAGUACUCCUAGCCCCUCUUACUCCGCUCCUCAUUAUAAUCAAUAAUUUCGAUUAAUUAUUGAUCAUUCUGGGGGACGUGAAAAGCAUACAUGGAUUCCCCUUCACUUCCAGAAAUUUCUUUUCAGCUAAUAUAACGCCCCAGGCACAACCAACUAACCACUGAGCCCUUCAACGCCAGGAUGACCAAACAUGACGUGUCGUGCGAGGACUAAAACGGAUGUAGGUACUCUUAGGAAUACUGGAUACACUAGGAUUGAGGAGGAUAACAGAACCGUCCGCCAACCCGUACGCAAAUCUCAACCAGGAUCGUUUCGUUGCCCCACCACUCUACAGAUCUACACCCACUUCAGUACUCCUAGCCCCUCUUACUCCGCUCCUCAUUAUAAUCAAUAAUUUCGAUUAAUUAUUGAUCAUUCUGGGGGACGUGAAAAGCAUACAUGGAUUCCCCUUCACUUCCAGAAAUUUCUUUUCAGCUAAUAUAACGCCCCAGGCACAACCAACUAACCACUGAGCCCUUCAACGCCAGGAUGACCAAACAUGACGUGUCGUGCGAGGACUAAAACGGAUGUAGGUACUCUUAGGAAUACUGGAUACACUAGGAUUGAGGAGGAUAACAGAACCGUCCGCCAACCCGUACGCAAAUCUCAACCAGGAUCGUUUCGUUGCCCCACCACUCUACAGAUCUACACCCACUUCAGUACUCCUAGCCCCUCUUACUCCGCUCCUCAUUAUAAUCAAUAAUUUCGAUCAAUUAUUGAUCAUUCUGGGGGACGUGAAAAGCAUACAUGGAUUCCCCUUCACUUCCAGAAAUUUCUUUUCAGCUAAUAUAACGCCCCAGGCACAACCAACUAACCACUGAGCCCUUCAACGCCAGGAUGACCAAACAUGACGUGUCGUGCGAGGACUAAAACGGAUGUAGGUACUCUUAGGAAUACUGGAUACACUAGGAUUGAGGAGGAUAACAGAACCGUCCGCCAACCCGUACGCAAAUCUCAACCAGGAUCGUUUCGUUGCCCCACCACUCUACAGAUCUACACCCACUUCAGUACUCCUAGCCCCUCUUACUCCGCUCCUCAUUAUAAUCAAUAAUUUCGAUCAAUUAUUGAUCAUUCUGGGGGACGUGAAAAGCAUACAUGGAUUCCCCUUCACUUCCAGAAAUUUCUUUUCAGCUAAUAUAACGCCCCAGGCACAACCAACUAACCACUGAGCCCUUCAACGCCAGGAUGACCAAACAUGACGUGUCGUGCGAGGACUAAAACGGAUGUAGGUACUCUUAGGAAUACUGGAUACACUAGGAUUGAGGAGGAUAACAGAACCGUCCGCCAACCCGUACGCAAAUCUCAACCAGGAUCGUUUCGUUGCCCCACCACUCUACAGAUCUACACCCACUUCAGUACUCCUAGCCCCUCUUACUCCGCUCCUCAUUAUAAUCAAUAAUUUCGAUCAAUUAUUGAUCAUUCUGGGGGACGUGAAAAGCAUACAUGGAUUCCCCUUCACUUCCAGAAAUUUCUUUUCAGCUAAUAUAACGCCCCAGGCACAACCAACUAACCACUGAGCCCUUCAACGCCAGGAUGACCAAACAUGACGUGUCGUGCGAGGACUAAAACGGAUGUAGGUACUCUUAGGAAUACUGGAUACACUAGGAUUGAGGAGGAUAACAGAACCGUCCGCCAACCCGUACGCAAAUCUCAACCAGGAUCGUUUCGUUGCCCCACCACUCUACAGAUCUACACCCACUUCAGUACUCCUAGCCCCUCUUACUCCGCUCCUCAUUAUAAUCAAUAAUUUCGAUCAAUUAUUGAUCAUUCUGGGGGACGUGAAAAGCAUACAUGGAUUCCCCUUCACUUCCAGAAAUUUCUUUUCAGCUAAUAUAACGCCCCAGGCACAAGAACCAACCAACCACUGAGCCCUUCAACGCCAGGAUGACCAAACAUGACGUGUCGUGCGAGGACUAAAACGGAUGUAGGUACUCUUAGGAAUACUGGAUACACUAGGAUUGAGGAGGAUAACAGAACCGUCCGCCAACCCGUACGCAAAUCUCAACCAGGAUCGUUUCGUUGCCCCACCACUCUACAGAUCUACACCCACUUCAGUACUCCUAGCCCCUCUUACUCCGCUCCUCAUUAUAAUCAAUAAUUUCGAUCAAUUAUUGAUCAUUCUGGGGGACGUGAAAAGCAUACAUGGAUUCCCCUUCACUUCCAGAAAUUUCUUUUCAGCUAAUAUAACGCCCCAGGCACAAGAACCAACCAACCACUGAGCCCUUCAACGCCAGGAUGACCAAACAUGACGUGUCGUGCGAGGACUAAAACGGAUGUAGGUACUCUUAGGAAUACUGGAUACACUAGGAUUGAGGAGGAUAACAGAACCGUCCGCCAACCCGUACGCAAAUCUCAACCAGGAUCGUUUCGUUGCCCCACCACUCUACAGAUCUACACCCACUUCAGUACUCCUAGCCCCUCUUACUCCGCUCCUCAUUAUAAUCAAUAAUUUCGAUCAAUUAUUGAUCAUUCUGGGGGACGUGAAAAGCAUACAUGGAUUCCCCUUCACUUCCAGAAAUUUCUUUUCAGCUAAUAUAACGCCCCAGGCACAACCAA